GCUGGGCGUGGUGGCGGGCGCCUGUAAUCCCAGCUACUAGGGAGGCUGAGACAGGAGAAUUGCUUGAACCCGGGAGACGGAGGUUGCAGUGAGCUGAGAUCAUGCCACUGCACUCCAGCCUGGGCAACAGAGCGAGACUCUGUCUCAA
Unclassified non-coding RNA from Pongo abelii (Sumatran orangutan), 148 nucleotides. It matches the Rfam family "Metazoan signal recognition particle RNA". From Rfam's summary of the family: The signal recognition particle (SRP) is a universally conserved ribonucleoprotein. It is involved in the co-translational targeting of proteins to membranes. The eukaryotic SRP consists of a 300-nucleotide 7S RNA and six proteins: SRPs 72, 68, 54, 19, 14, and 9. The record is from Ensembl. NCBI's taxonomy places the organism in Eukaryota, Metazoa, Chordata, Mammalia, Primates, Hominidae.